Molecule: ribosomal RNA, 254 nt
Filed under: uncultured bacterium
Lineage: Bacteria
Description: partial 16S ribosomal RNA
Rfam family: Bacterial small subunit ribosomal RNA
Source: RNAcentral
UACGAAGGGGGCUAGCGUUGCUCGGAAUUACUGGGCGUAAAGCGCACGUAGGCGGAUUGUUAAGUCGGGGGUGAAAUCCUGGAGCUCAACUCCAGAACUGCCUUCGAAACUGGGCGAUCUUGAGUUCGGGAGAGGUGAGUGGAACUGCGAGUGUAGAGGUGAAAUUCGUAGAUAUUCGCAAGAACACCAGUGGCGAAGGCGGCUCACUGGCCCGAUACUGACGCUGAGGCGCGAAAGCGUGGGGAGCAAACAGG